Molecule: non-coding RNA, 280 nt
Organism: Dermacentor andersoni
Lineage: Eukaryota; Metazoa; Arthropoda; Arachnida; Ixodida; Ixodidae
Source: RefSeq, a predicted model, not a curated record
UUGCUACCACGCCAGUGGUCACGGAGGCACAAGCAGAAUGGAGGACUCGCAGUGCAUCUUUUUUGUUAUGCAGGGAGUGCCCACCAUCGGAACAUGGAAGAAAUGGGAGGCCUUCCCUGCAUUGCCGGACCCGGACACCCAACUUCGUUGGGUGAACCAGGAUGCCAGUACCAUGGCCUCGCGCAGCCUGGACACAUGCGCGUAAUGGGAGGUCUGUGCGAUGGCCCUGGGCUCUUGAAUGAUAUAAAGUCACUCGCUUAAUAAAGUUUUUCCAUCCAUC